Molecule: transfer RNA, 79 nt
Filed under: Ipomoea nil (Japanese morning glory)
Lineage: Eukaryota; Viridiplantae; Streptophyta; Magnoliopsida; Solanales; Convolvulaceae
Rfam family: tRNA
About the family: Transfer RNA (tRNA) molecules are approximately 80 nucleotides in length. Their secondary structure includes four short double-helical elements and three loops (D, anti-codon, and T loops). Further hydrogen bonds mediate the characteristic L-shaped molecular structure. tRNAs have two regions of fundamental functional importance: the anti-codon, which is responsible for specific mRNA codon recognition, and the 3' end, to which the tRNAs corresponding amino acid is attached (by aminoacyl-tRNA synthetases). tRNAs cope with the degeneracy of the genetic code in two manners: having more than one tRNA (with a specific anti-codon) for a particular amino acid; and 'wobble' base-pairing, i.e. permitting non-standard base-pairing at the 3rd anti-codon position.
Source: Rfam by way of RNAcentral
GAGGGUUUGGCCGAGUGGUCUAAGGCGCCAGAUUUAGACUCUUGUCGAAAGGGCGUGGGUUCAAAUCCCACAGCCGUCA